Vitis vinifera (wine grape) is the source of this 3305-nucleotide RNA transcript. It is a transcript of the gene named protein ACCELERATED CELL DEATH 6, with no coding region annotated. Lineage: Eukaryota; Viridiplantae; Streptophyta; Magnoliopsida; Vitales; Vitaceae. The record is from RefSeq and is a predicted model, not a curated record. The transcript has 9 exons.
UCUUCUGUUAUGUUUUUUUUUUUUUUUCCCUGUUUGAUUCCUUAGAAAAUGCAGGGAGAAACCAUUCGUUCUGUACUUUUAUAUACAUAUAUAUAGAUAUCUACAUAACCCCCUGCCAUCUUCUUCUUUCUUCCCCGAUCUCAUUUCCGCACUCUUCCCCUCUCCUGCAAAACCCUAAUUUAUUCGGAGAUCUCCCUCCGCAAAACCCUUAUCGCGAUCGGCCCCGAUCCAAACCCUAAUUGUUGUUGGAUUGAUGUUCGAUUGACAGAUCUGAUCUGUCCGAUUCUAGAUUUGGAUCGCAUGUUGUUGAGUUUUUCGGCGAAUUUAGUGUGAUUUAUUGAAGAAGGGAUCUGUUGGUUUGAUUUGAUUUAACAAUGGCAGCUACUGUCCCCCCAGGGGCACCUAGAGCCACGAAUACACCGCCACCACCACCACUUAAUAAAAUAACUUAAAAUAUCACAACGUCAUUCUCAAUGUAUGUGAGAGAGGGCAUUCGGUAGAGAGCCCUGAGACAAUGGCCGAUGCUUUGUUUUCAGUGGUUUUCGACAUCUUGAUCCAGCGCGUGCAUCAGGCGAUAGCCGUAGCCGUAGAUCACGAUGAGAUCAGUAACCUGAACUUACAUGUCGGCUUUGACUCAAGUCACAGGAAGAACACAGCCCUUCAUAUUGCUGCAAGAGUAGGGAACAAGAAAAUGGUGGAAGCGUUACUCAGCGAGGGUACACCAGCUUCGCUUCUCACUGAGAACUCUAAACAUGAAACCCCACUUCACAUUGCAGCUAGAUCUGGCCAUGUUCAUGUGGUAAAAUUUCUUAUUGAUUGGGCGACCCAGUCCACAGAUGUCGAAGCUGGAGGGAUACAACAGGUACUGAGAAUGAGAAACAUGGAAGGCAACACGCCAUUACAUGAAGCUGUUAGAAAUGGUCACCAUUCUACUGUGCUUGUAUUGGUGGAAGCAAAUGACUCAGAUCUGCUUGUUUCACUCAACAAUGCUGGGGAGUCUCCACUUUUUAUGGCUGUUGAUGUGAGGGCAAGUGAAAUUGUGAAAACUAUCUUACCAAAUUCAAAUCCCUAUUCUCUUCUCCAUAGAAGUUCCGACGGCCAGACGAUUCUCCAUAGGGCCAUUCUGAGAGCUGAUUUGAAGACUAUGAAAAUUAUAAUCCAACAUAUGCCGGAAUUGGUGAAUGAAAAAGAUAGCUGCGGAAGAAGUCCUCUUCACUAUGCUGCAGCCUCCGGUGCCUUAGCCUUGGUCGAUCAUUUACUACAACUAAAACCUUCCAAUGGAUCUUUCCUCGAUAACAAUUUAGCAACACCGGCUCAUAUGGCUGCAGAAAAUGGGCAUCUGAAUGUAUUGAAAUUGUUUGUCAAGCGCUGCCGCUAUUGGGUCGAAUUACUCAACAAUCACCACCAAAAUAUCCUUCAUGUAGCAGCCCAAAAUGGACAUCUUAAAGUUGUUCGAUAUAUUCAAAAUAUGUUCAUGGUGAAUGAUCUAUUGAAUGAGACCGAUGAGGAUGGAAACACCCCUUUGCAUCUUGCAGCAGCAAAAUUGCACAGCAGCAUCGUAAGUACUCUUGUCCAAACAGGAAAUAUGGAUACUACGGCAAUCAAUAAAAAAGGUGAAACAGUCCUGGAUAUUGCUAGGAAAUUUCAGCUUGUUUCACCAAGUAAUGAAGGAAAUGAAGGCACGGAUGGGAAUCAAGCCCAAGCAACUCCAAACAAGACUGGUUGUGCCGGUGAUGAAAAGAUAGAAGCAAAAAAGCAACGGACCAUAGAAAUUCUGAAGGCGGCAAGUGCAAAGCAAGCUAAAAAGUUAGAGGGAAUCCUAGAACAAGAAGAUCUUAUAAUAGAAUCAAUACGGGACAAGAGGCGUAAAGAAAUGGCUGGCACCCUCAUAGUAAUGGCAACAUUAGUUGCAACAGUCACAUUUACAGCGGCAUUCACCCUUCCAGGGGGCAUCCAAAGUGAAGGUCCACAUCAAGGGAUGGCAGUGCUAACAAGGAAAGCAGCAUUCAAAGCUUUUAUUGUCACUGAUACAGUAGCUAUGACUACGUCCAUGACUGCUGCAGUGAUUCUUUUCACAUCAUCUUGGAAUGAUGAGAAAAAUAAAUGGAAUCUGCACUUUAUUGCCUUGCAGUUGUUAUGGAUGUCACUUGCCUCAAUGGGACUGGCAUUCCUUACUGGACUGUUCACUGUUCUAUCACACUCAAUGGAGCUUGCUAUCAUGGUUUGUUUUAUUGGCUGUCUCUUCCCAAGUCUCCUCUACUUGCUGGGGCCUCUUAUUCUCCCUGAGGAAUUUGUUUGGUCACUCGUGGAUAUCAUAGAGAAAACCAAAACCAAAAUAUACUCAUUUUGGAUAUUGCACAACAAAUAAACAGGCUGACACAAGAGUGUCCCUUUGCAUGGCUUUUAACCUAGUGCAAAUGGAUCUCCAAAUUAUCACAUUAAUUUCCCAAGUCUGGAGGAGACAGAACCAGAAUUUCAGCUAAAAGGUGGGAUGGAGGAACCUCCUUUCUUGGGAAUAACAAAGCUUGCAAGGUCAUUGGUAUUGGGGUCAAUUAGAAUCAGAAUGUUUGAUGUCUUUGAAAGAGUUCUGCAAGAGGUUUGCCAAGUACUUCCCGGGGGAAAGCAGUGAUGACUUAGUUUACUUGAUCAACAGGUGCCCUACAUCAGCCAUUGGGUUCAAAACACCCCAAGAAUUAUGGACAGUGACAAUUUUUGUAGAUGAGGAAGACCCGAAAAGUUCGCAGGAAUUGUUCCAGUAAGAUUGUUGUUAGAAAGAUCUAUCGUUGUAAUAUUCUCAGAAAAUCUACCAGGAGGUAUGGUUCCAUUAAGCUGGUUCGAACUGAGGUCUAAAUAACCAAGAUAUGGUAUCUUGCUCAAGUUGGGAAUUUCUCCUUGCAAGCUGCAGUUUCUGAGGCUCAACUUCAACAAUUUAGACAUGUUGCUGUAAGAAGCUGGAAUACUCCCGUUGAAGUGGUUGUUGUCGAGCUGAACUAUAAGUAACUUUGGCAUUUCAGAGAAUUCUGGUGGAAGAUAUCCUGAUAGGUUGUUAUUGUCAAGCAGAAAGUGAACAAGUUCUGGCAAUCUGGAGAGCUCGGAUGGAAUUUGCCCACUAAUUGAAUUGUUGUUCAUGUGAAAGUGCUUUGUUUUAUUCAAGUUCGCAAAAGAUCUAGGAAUUGAUCCUGAUAUUUGGUUCUGGUCAAUCUGUAUUCUGUCCAAGUUUGGAAGAUUACCGAGCUCUUCUGGUAAAGAACCUGUUAACUUGUUGCCAUUCAGGAGCAAGAGUUCUAAAGUUGUAAUGUUUCCUA